AGGAGGAGGAGGAGGAGGAGGAGGAGGAGGAGGAGGAGGAGGAGGAGGAGGAGGAGGAGGAGACAGUCAUGGAUGAAGGGACGUCACAGAUCAUGCACAUUUGCUUCCAUAUUGGCACAGAUCCUGGAACUUAUGCAGAGGAUGGGCAUACAGUUCCAGGCCCUGCCACCGCCACCACCACCACCACCACCACCCCCAGCACAGCCACAGGAGGGGGAGGAGAAGGCCCUGCUGGCACCCAACCCCCCACCAUCCCAGGACACUCUUCCUACAAUGGAGAGAUCAGAUUGUUCCACUGAGUACACCUCCAGCCUUUUGAAAGUAGUGGUGUUGGCAGAAGUCUUAAGAAGUCCACCCCACCACUACCACCACCACCACCACUUGUCCCUUCUGCAGGCACCUGACGGACUUUGAGCUGGUGCAGCGUCUGGCGCGGUGC
Long non-coding RNA from Scylla paramamosain (green mud crab), 439 nucleotides. RefSeq lists it as uncharacterized. Lineage: Eukaryota; Metazoa; Arthropoda; Malacostraca; Decapoda; Portunidae. The transcript is spliced from 3 exons. The record is from RefSeq and is a predicted model, not a curated record.